RNAcentral lists this long non-coding RNA (244 nucleotides) under Rhinopithecus bieti (black snub-nosed monkey). RNAcentral describes it as "lncRNA (ENSRBIG00000045423.1)". The record is from RNAcentral. Lineage: Eukaryota; Metazoa; Chordata; Mammalia; Primates; Cercopithecidae.
UCAACAAAUUCUUAGCUGUAUAAGCUUGAGCAAAUUCUUUAAGCUCUCUGAGGUUUUGUUUUUGUUUUCCCAUAGAAACCAUCCCUUCAGAAGACUGCUGUGAGGAUUACAUGAGAUAUGUAUGCAAACACCUGGCAUAUAGAAAGUGCCCAACUGCUAUGAGAUGUUCAGAAGUAUUACUCCCUGACUUCGUUCAGGUGUCUGCUCAAAUCACUUCAGAGUCAAGGAGACCAUGCUAUCCAAC